Molecule: ribosomal RNA, 496 nt
Filed under: uncultured bacterium
Lineage: Bacteria
Description: partial 16S ribosomal RNA
Rfam family: Bacterial small subunit ribosomal RNA
Source: RNAcentral
AUUGAACGCUGGCGGAAUGCUUUACACAUGCAAGUCGAACGGUAGAGGGGGCAACCCCUCGAGAGUGGCGAACGGGUGAGUAAUAUAUCGGAACGUGCCCAGUCGUGGGGGAUAACGUAGCGAAAGUUACGCUAAUACCGCAUACGAUCUAAGGAUGAAGGCGGGGGAUCGCAAGACCUCGCGCGAUUGGAGCGGCCGAUAUCAGAUUAGGUAGUUGGUGGGGUAAAGGCUCACCAAGCCAACGAUCUGUAGCUGGUCUGAGAGGACGACCAGCCACACUGGAACUGAGACACGGUCCAGACUCCUACGGGAGGCAGCAGUGGGGAAUUUUGGACAAUGGACGCAAGUCUGAUCCAGCCAUCCCGCGUGCAGGAUGAAGGCCCUCGGGUUGUAAACUGCUUUUGUACGGAACGAAAAGGUCUCUCUUAAUACGGGGGACUCAUGACGGUACCGUAAGAAUAAGCACCGGCUAACUACGUGCCAGCCGCCGCGGUAA